This 497-nucleotide ribosomal RNA is filed under the name uncultured bacterium. Its description in RNAcentral is "partial 16S ribosomal RNA". It matches the Rfam family "Bacterial small subunit ribosomal RNA", at positions 28 to 507 of the family's 1533-position model. The record is from RNAcentral.
GAUGAACGCUGGCGGCGUGCCUAAUACAUGCAAGUCGAGCGAACGGACGAGAAGCUUGCUUCUCUGAUGUUAGCGGCGGACGGGUGAGUAACACGUGGAUAACCUACCUAUAAGACUGGGAUAACUUCGGGAAACCGUAGCUAAUACCGGAUAAUAUUUUGAACCGCAUGGUUCAAAAGUGAAAGACGGUCUUGCUGUCACUUAUAGAUGGAUCCGGGCUGCAUUGGCUAGUUGGUAAGGUAACGGGUUACCAAGGCAACGAUGCAUAGCCGACCUGAGAGGGUGAUCGGCGACACUGGAACUGAGCCACGGUCCAGACUCCUACGGGAGGCAGCAGUAGGGAAUCUUCCGCAAUGGGCGAAAGCCUGACGGAGCAACGCCGAGUGAGUGAUGAAGGUCUUCGGAUCGUAAAAAUCUGUUAUUAGGGAAGAACAUAUGUGUAAGUAACUGUGCACAUCUUGACGGUAACUAAUCAGAAAGCCACGGCUAACUACGUG